UGGGGAAUAUUGGGCAAUGGACGCAAGUCUGACCCAGCAACGCCGCGUGAAGGAAGAAGGCUUUCGGGUUGUAAACUUCUUUGACAGGGGAAGAGUAGAAGACGGUACCCUGAAAACAAGCCACGGCUAACUACGUGCCAGCAGCCGCGGUAAUACGUAGGUGGCAAGCGUUGUCCGGAUUUACUGGGUGUAAAGGGCGUGUAGCCGGGUCUGUAAGUCAGAUGUGAAAUCCAUGGGCUUAACCCAUGAACUGCAUUUGAAACUGCGGAUCUUGAGUAUCGGAGAGGUAAUCGGAAUUCCUAGUGUAGCGGUGAAAUGCGUAGAUAUUAGGAGGAACACCAGUGGCGAAGGCGGAUUACUGGACGACAACUGACGGUGAGGCGCGAAAGCGUGGGGAGCAAACA
RNAcentral lists this ribosomal RNA (404 nucleotides) under uncultured Oscillibacter sp. RNAcentral's name for it is "partial 16S ribosomal RNA". It matches the Rfam family "Bacterial small subunit ribosomal RNA", at positions 355 to 774 of the family's 1533-position model. The record is from RNAcentral. Lineage: Bacteria; Bacillati; Bacillota; Clostridia; Eubacteriales; Oscillospiraceae.